GAUGAACGCUGGCGGCGUGCCUAAUACAUGCAAGUCGAGCGAACAGACGAUGAGCUUGCUCCUUUGACGUUAGCGGCGGACGGGUGAGUAACACGUAGGUAACCUUCCUAUUAGACUUGGAUAACUUCGGGAAACCGGAGCUAAUACCGGAUAAUAUUUCGAACCGGAUGGUUCGAUAGUGAAAGAUGGCUUUGCUAUCACUUAUAGAUGGACCUGCGCCGUAUUAGCUAGUUGGUAAGGUAACGGCUUACCAAGGCAACGAUACGUAGCCGACCUGAGAGGGUGAUCGGCCACACUGGAACUGAGACACGGUCCAGACUCCUAAGGGAGGCAGCAGUAGGGAAUAGUGCGCAAUGGGCGAAAGCCUGACGGAGCAACGCCGCGUGAGUGAUGAAGGUCUUCGGGUCGUAAAACUCUGUUAUUAGGGAAGAACAAACGUGUAAGUAACUGUGCACGUCUUGACGGUACCUAAUCAGAAAGCCACGGCUAACUACGUG
This 497-nucleotide ribosomal RNA is filed under the name uncultured bacterium. Its description in RNAcentral is "partial 16S ribosomal RNA". It matches the Rfam family "Bacterial small subunit ribosomal RNA", at positions 28 to 507 of the family's 1533-position model. The record is from RNAcentral.